RNAcentral lists this ribosomal RNA (426 nucleotides) under uncultured beta proteobacterium. RNAcentral's name for it is "bacterial SSU rRNA". It matches the Rfam family "Bacterial small subunit ribosomal RNA", at positions 356 to 774 of the family's 1533-position model. The record is from RNAcentral. Lineage: Bacteria; Pseudomonadati; Pseudomonadota; Betaproteobacteria.
GGGGAAUAUUGGACAAUGGCCGAAAGCCUGAUCCAGCCAUGCCGCGUGUGUGAAGAAGGUCUUCGCAUUGUAAAGCACUUUAAGUUUGGAGGAUGGGCUGCAAGUUAAUACCUUGUAGUUUUGACGUUACCAACAGAAUAAGCACCGGCUAACUUCGUCCCAGCAGCCGCGGUAAUACGAAGGGUGCAAGCGUUAAUCGGAAUUACUGGGCGUAAAGCGUGCGCAGGCGGUUUGGUAAGACAGGUGUGAAAUCCCCGGGCUUAACCUGGGAACUCCGCUUGUGACUGCCAGGCUAGAGUACGGCAGAGGGGGGUGGAAUUCCACGUGUAGCAGUGAAAUGCGUAGAGAUGUGGAGGAACACCGAUGGCGAAGGCAGACCCCUGGGCCUGUACUGACGCUCAUGCACGAAAGCGUGGGGAGCAAACA